RNAcentral lists this ribosomal RNA (253 nucleotides) under uncultured bacterium. RNAcentral's name for it is "partial 16S ribosomal RNA". It matches the Rfam family "Bacterial small subunit ribosomal RNA", at positions 524 to 776 of the family's 1533-position model. The record is from RNAcentral.
UACGGAGGAUGCAAGCGUUAUCCGGAAUCAUUGGGCGUAAAGCGUCCGCAGGUGGUUUUUCAAGUCUGCUGUUAAAGACAGAAGCUCAACUUCUGAGCGGCAGUGGAAACUGGGGAACUAGAGUACGGUAGGGGUUGAGGGAAUUCCCAGUGUAGCGGUGAAAUGCGUAGAUAUUGGGAAGAACACCAGUGGCGAAGGCGCUCAACUGGGCCGUAACUGACACUCAGGGACGAAAGCUAGGGUAGCCAAAGGG